GAGGGCACAGCUCAGUGGUAGAGUGUGCGCCUAGCACGCAUGAGGUCCUGGGUUCCAUCCCAGUACCUCCA
Molecule: transfer RNA, 71 nt
Filed under: Camelus bactrianus (Bactrian camel)
Lineage: Eukaryota; Metazoa; Chordata; Mammalia; Artiodactyla; Camelidae
Also listed under: 2 other names
Rfam family: tRNA
About the family: Transfer RNA (tRNA) molecules are approximately 80 nucleotides in length. Their secondary structure includes four short double-helical elements and three loops (D, anti-codon, and T loops).
Source: Rfam by way of RNAcentral